Molecule: ribosomal RNA, 497 nt
Filed under: uncultured bacterium
Lineage: Bacteria
Description: partial 16S ribosomal RNA
Rfam family: Bacterial small subunit ribosomal RNA
Source: RNAcentral
GAUGAACGCUGGCGGCGUGCCUAAUACAUGCAAGUCGAGCGAACGGACGCGAAGCUUGCUUUUCUGAUGUUAGCGGCGGACGGGUGAGUAACACGUGGAUAACCUACCUAUAAGACUGGGAUAACUUCGGGAAACCGGAGAUAAUACCGGAUAAUAUUUUGAACCGCAUGGUUCAAAGGUGAAAGACGGUCUUGCUGUCACUAAUCGCUGGAUCCGCGCUGCAUUAGCUAGUUGGUAAGGUAACGGCGUAUCAAGGCAACGAUGCAUAGCCGACCGGAGAGGGGGAUCGGCCACACGGGAACGGAGACAGGGUCCAGACUCCUACGGUAGGCAGCAGUAGGCAACCGGCCGCAAUGGUCGAAAGCCUGGCGGAGCAACGCCGCGUGAGUGAUGAAGGUCUUCGGAUCGUAAAACUCUGUUAUUAGUGAAGAACAUAUGUGUAAUGAACUGUGCACAUCGUGACGGUACCUAAUCAGAAAGCCACGGCUAACUACGUG